GCCUGGGUAGCUCAGUGGAUAGAGCAGUAGUUUCCUAAACUAUUGGUCGCGGGUUCAAUUCCCGCCCCGGGUA
This 73-nucleotide transfer RNA is filed under the name Lentisphaeria bacterium. RNAcentral describes it as "tRNA-Arg". It matches the Rfam family "tRNA". From Rfam's summary of the family: Transfer RNA (tRNA) molecules are approximately 80 nucleotides in length. Their secondary structure includes four short double-helical elements and three loops (D, anti-codon, and T loops). Further hydrogen bonds mediate the characteristic L-shaped molecular structure. tRNAs have two regions of fundamental functional importance: the anti-codon, which is responsible for specific mRNA codon recognition, and the 3' end, to which the tRNAs corresponding amino acid is attached (by aminoacyl-tRNA synthetases). tRNAs cope with the degeneracy of the genetic code in two manners: having more than one tRNA (with a specific anti-codon) for a particular amino acid; and 'wobble' base-pairing, i.e. permitting non-standard base-pairing at the 3rd anti-codon position. RNAcentral also lists the same sequence under 2 other names. Lineage: Bacteria; Pseudomonadati; Lentisphaerota; Lentisphaeria. The record is from RNAcentral.